RNAcentral lists this ribosomal RNA (254 nucleotides) under uncultured bacterium. RNAcentral's name for it is "partial 16S ribosomal RNA". It matches the Rfam family "Bacterial small subunit ribosomal RNA", at positions 524 to 776 of the family's 1533-position model. The record is from RNAcentral.
CACGUAGGGCGCAAGCGUUGUCCGGAAUUAUUGGGCGUAAAGAGCUCGUAGGCGGUCCGUCACGUCCGCUGUGAAAACCCACGGGCUCAACCCUGGGCUUGCAGUGGAUACGGGCAGACUAGAGGUAGGUAGGGGAGAAUGGAAUUCCCGGUGUAGCGGUGAAAUGCGCAGAUAUCGGGAGGAACACCGGUGGCGAAGGCGGUUCUCUGGGCCUUACCUGACGCUGAGGAGCGAAAGCGUGGGGAGCGAACAGG